Molecule: ribosomal RNA, 301 nt
Filed under: uncultured bacterium
Lineage: Bacteria
Description: partial 16S ribosomal RNA
Rfam family: Bacterial small subunit ribosomal RNA
Source: RNAcentral
CAGCAGCCGCGGUAAUACGAAGGGUGCAAGCGUUAAUCGGAAUUACUGGGCGUAAAGCGCGCGCAGGCGGUUAUAUAAGACAGAUGUGAAAUCCCCGGGCUCAACCUGGGAACUGCAUUUGUGACUGUAUAGCUAGAGUACGGCAGAGGGGGAUGGAAUUCCGCGUGUAGCAGUGAAAUGCGUAGAUAUGCGGAGGAACACCGAUGGCGAAGGCAAUCCCCUGGGCCUGUACUGACGCUCAUGCACGAAAGCGUGGGGAGCAAACAGGAUUAGAUACCCGGGUAGUCCCUGUCUCUUAUAC